ACCGGACGACUGUCACACCGUCAAACAGUCGGGAAACGGAUAUGAAGUCUGUCCACCGCGUUCGGUAAGAGAGAGGGUCGACAAAACAUUUUUGUCGUGUUGAUAACUUAGCGCUUCGACUCUAUUCAUUAGCUUUUGGUCGUAUUUGUUCCCGCUUCCCCUGAAUUGUUUUAACAGUAUUCUGGGGUGCAAUGGACGACAGCAACGCAGUGAAGCUCUUUGUUGGGAAUCUGGAUUUGGAAACCACACAAGAUGACCUAAUAGCACUUUUUGCCCCUUAUGGAGAAGUGGUGCACUUAACUGUACUGAGGCAGUUUGCCUUUGUCCAUCUGCAGGGAGAAGGGGCUGCUGACCGUGCCAUCCGUGAUCUGAAUGGUCGAGAGUACCGUGGCCGGAGCCUUGUAGUUGAGGAAUCCAAAGGGAGGCCCCUCAAUUCCACCAAAGUAUUUGUGGGGAACCUGUGUGCUUCUUGUUCAGUUGAAGACCUGUAUGAGCUCUUCUCGGCAUACGGCAAAGUUCUUGAUUGUGACAAAGUAAAGACAAAGCUCUCCUCUUUAACAGGCUACGCCUUUGUGCACAUGGAGCGCAAAGAGGAUGCAGAUCAAGCCAUUGAGGGUCUUCACGGGACCUCAUUUAUGGGACGUCCGCUCGCAGUGGAGCUCUCGAAGGUACAGCAGACCACAAAUAAGGUCCCUUGUGCCAGCUGUGGUGCGCAUGGCCACUUUGCAGGAGAAUGCCCAAUCAACAGGCCUCCCAUGGAGCACCACCAGAGUCAGGCUGCUGUCUUAGCUGCAGCUGCUGCCGCCGCUGCUGGGCUUCCUCUUCAGGUGCAGCAGAGUGUCCACAACUCUUUCUACAACACUGCGAGCACUGACCCGACAUUUGCAGCUCUGAAAGACUUGACCACUUCCAGGGUUGAUGGCAAACCUGUCAGUGCCGCGGUCUACGGGGCCUUGGCAAGUCAAGUCUACAGUGCUGUCGCAGACCAGAUGUUCAGCUCGACGACAAGCCAGGCUAGGAAUGGCUACCCCACUGAAGGAGAAGCUCCUCCGGGCGCUACCGCAAUUAACCCUGCCUACGGAGCAAAUUCCUCUCUGUACGGUGCCAGUCCAGCUUAUGGGACCAUGGGAGGCACAGAGCCUGACCCCCAAGCAAUGUUUGAAGCCGCUCGGGCCCGAUUCUUUGAGCAGGGACAACAAGUUCUGGCCGAACAGCAGGCUGUGACCAAAUCCGACCGAGACCGAAGUCCAAUACGGCGCUCGGCCCCAUUACUGCCUGACCCGGUUCCCCAGCCGUUCUCCCAGACACGACCCAAACGACGGGCCCUGCUCCCAACACCACCUGGUGGUCCAGAAUUACCUGCAGUUAAAAAUGGAGACCCAAUUGCAAGGUGCUAUGCAGAGUACUACCAACAGUACCAGCAGUUCCAACAGUACCAACAAUACCAGCAGUACCAACAUUACCAGCAGUACCAGUACAGCUAUCCGCCGCCUCCACCGCCACCUCCUCCGAUGCCUAUGGUGCCUCCAGGCCCAAUGGAUCCGCAACAGAUGGCCGCCCCUGGCACCACAGCUUCACCAAGAGUGUAUGAGCCAACUUCAGCACACAAGGAGCCCCUCCUACGCCAUCCUGAUUACUCUCACCAACACACAUCUGAGUCCCCAUAUCGAUAGCCCCCAUUACAUGAGUGUGUGCACACGUGUAUGGCUGUGAAAAUGUGUGCGUGCGUCAGUUUUGGUCCUACAUGACAAAAUAAACUGGAGGAAAGGGAUAAAUUGAAUUUUUAUUUUAGUUUCGCAGUUAUCUUUCCCCCGCAUAAUGUCAAAUAUGUCAUUAUGUACAGAAUGUAGAAGUUUACAAGGCCAUUUUGAUUCUGAGCCCCUCUCGUUUUUUUCCCCCCUUAUUUUUUCGAAGUGCUCAGAAUUACAUUAGCUGUCAGUUUUAUAGAUAAAAUACCCUUUGACCAUUGUGUUGGGUCAAACAUUCUCUGAAGUCAAAAGACUGCCUUGUAAAAAUAACCUUUUUUUUUUUUUUGUACAGACUUUUGUAAAACCAAGUACGUCAGCUAAGGUACAGUUUUAUUAAAUUCAUGGUUUAGCAAAGGAGCAAGUCUCAGUCGAAUAUCUUAAUCCAAAUUGUUGUCAGUAUAUUGUAUUUGGCUUAGACUGAUGUUAAAUUUCACACCGACUAGGAAGACAGCAUAGUUUAGAUAGAAUAUAAAGAGGACCUGUGUGAAGUCUGUGUGUGUGAGUGAGUGAGAACACAAUGUUAACAGUUUGGCUGAGCCCUUAGCUUACAUGAGCACCACAAUCACAUGCACAUCAUACUUAUUUUGUAUAGUCCUAUUUGAGUAAGGGUGGUGCAUAUGGAUAUAUUUAGGUAAAUCCGUACCAAACAAAUACACAUCUGUACUUAAACGCUCUAACCACUGCCUCACUAGUGCAGAUGGUUACGCCUGCCCAGUUCGACUACAAUAAAACUGAAAUUAAAAUCGCCUGUCGCGAAAGAGGUAAGGACAGAUUAACUGCAAAAGGGACACCUUUAAUUUGUCGCUCGAUAGGCAUAUUAAUGUUCUAAAUGUUUUCCAUUUGGAUACCUAUAUUGACUCUGAAUGAGUUCGGGAUGUCGUUGUUGCUAAAUAGCAAACAGAACUGGUUCUAUAGCCUGCCAGUAGCAAUUAUGCAUGUUUUGCAGGAUUUAAAGAGCAAACGACUGCCAUCUCUGGCCUUGCAUCGUUCUCUUACAUGGACAGAAUACUUGGGAGUAUUGACUUACUAGUACGGGUGGUAACCCCUCAAAUGUCUUUAAAAGAGAAUGAGGUUUUUACGUUCUUGUUUCCUUUGAAAGUAGCCCCAUGCAAUUACUAUUAUGUUUCUCUGACCAUUUAUUUUGUUCACAUUAUUAUAGUCUCUUUAUUAUUCGAGUCAUGUGAAGUUAUUUCAGGGGCUUUGGGGUGGAAACAGUUAUUUAGAGGGGAGGAGGAGGGGGGGAGGGUGAUAAACUUGUUCAGGCCUGACAUAUAGUUAGUUAAGGCAAUUGGUUAAACGAGUGAAAAAACAGUGAAGUGCUUCAUACAAUUGUAUUUUUGUUCUUAAGGAAAAAAAUGUGCUGUCCCAGUUUGAGCAUUUUAGGCAAUUCAAUUAAACAUACAUGUUAUAACAUUAUAAACUGAAAGUGUGUGAAUAAUUCAUCCAGGUUAAAGUCCAUGUAACUAGUACCAGAAGUUUCAAACUUUUGUAAAGUAUGAAGGGAAUCUACUCAAAUUCAUACUAUCGGCAAUAUAUUUUUUGCUAAAAUUUCAGUGAUACAGAUGUUAUGACAGUUGAGUAGCUUCCCUUCAGACACAAUAAAAGUGAAUAAUGAUUGAAAUUGGAAGGUAUGAUAAAAAGAAUGGUUUGUUUAAUCAUGUUAUGUAUGUCCUCUUUUCCUAGAAUGCCCCUCAGGCAGUCUUCAGUCUUUCAUUCCAAAGAAAUAUGGUGGGGUACACACACAAAUCUCACUUAGCACACACAACCCAUAAUCUCACCACUCUACAUUCAACUUCUUCUCUUUGAUUACACUUCACAGGCAAAAAACCACUGUAGUGUUAAUGUUCUCAAUUUGAUGUAUGAUAGAAUGUAGAUGGAAAGGUGGUGGCGGUGUAGCUUUUUGCAGCACACCAGGACUCCACACAAAUUAUUCUACACAGUAAAUUGUCUGUUUUGUUUAUUAUAAAUAGUGUAUGUCUCUUGUUAUUAUUACUGCUGUUCCAGCCACAUUUUCCCUUUUCGCUAACUACAGCUAAAAUGGCUCCCGGCCUCAGGACGCCAAGUUGAGCAUGACGGGGGAAGAGAAUUAGCGCCCCACAAUGCCUCGGACGUGCUCCCCACUAAGUCUUUUUGAAGCACUUCCAGUUGGCGAGAUGAGGCGCUCCAACUGUUUGUGAAUACUUAAGAAGGGUGCAGAGCUGUCCAAAAGUAGGGCAAUGAUCUCGUAGGUGCUUUGAAAAGCUGGGCAGUGGAGCAUUAUUUGUGGAUAAACUAUGAUUGUAGAUAAUCCAGAACUGAAAUAUUCAGUGAUUCAGGGAAGUUCAAGUAUCAUUGAUCAUUUUUUUCUAGGUCUGAAUGGGCAACUUUCAUUGUGGUCUAUGUAAUUGUCUUAAUGUCUGAAUCUGAAUCCUAACGUUUUUUAUUUGCAAACUGGCUUUAGUGCCAUGAUCUUUGUAUUUUCUUCUUGUAAAGUUCAAUAAAUGAUGCUUAAAGCGUA
This is an RNA transcript of Rhinichthys klamathensis goyatoka, 4245 nucleotides long. It is a transcript of the gene named RNA binding motif protein 14a, with no coding region annotated. The record is from RefSeq and is a predicted model, not a curated record. Lineage: Eukaryota; Metazoa; Chordata; Actinopteri; Cypriniformes; Leuciscidae. The transcript is spliced from 6 exons.